AGUGAACGCUGGCGGUAUGCCUAACACAUGCAAGUCGAACGGCAGCACAGUAAGAUCUUGCUCUUACUGUUGGCGAGUGGCGGACGAGUGACGAAUACAUCAGAAUCUACUUUUUCUUGGGGGAUAACGUAGAGACACUUACGCUAAUACCGCAUACUACCUACGGGUGAAAUCAAAGGAUCUUCGCACCUUUCGCGAUUGUAUGAGCCGAUGUCGGAUUAGCUAGUUGGCGGGGUAAAGGCCCACCAAGGCGACGAUCCGUAGCUGGUCUGAGAGGAUGAUCAGCCACACUGGAACUGAGACACGGUCCAGACUCCUACGGGAGGCAGCAGUGGGGAAUAUUGGACAAUGGGCGCAAGCCUGAUGCAGCCAUACCGCGUGGGUGAAGAAGGCCUUCGGGUUGUAAAGCCCUUUUGUUGGGAAAGAAAAGCAGCAGAUUAAUAUCCCGCUGUUCUGACAGUACCCAAAGAAUAAGCACCGGCUAACUUCGUG
This 492-nucleotide ribosomal RNA is filed under the name uncultured bacterium. RNAcentral describes it as "partial 16S ribosomal RNA". It matches the Rfam family "Bacterial small subunit ribosomal RNA", at positions 29 to 507 of the family's 1533-position model. The record is from RNAcentral.